RNAcentral lists this long non-coding RNA (477 nucleotides) under Gallus gallus (chicken). The record is from RNAcentral. Lineage: Eukaryota; Metazoa; Chordata; Aves; Galliformes; Phasianidae.
CUUCAGGUUAUAAACAAGAUGACAACAAGAUGUUAAUGAAUCUGAUUCCAGAAGAAAAAAAAAAACACAAAAAACCACAAAGCAAGACAUUUUAAAAUUAAUAUAGACUGAGCUAAGAGAAAAAAUGUUCAGAGAGCUUUAGCCUAGUGAAACAUGGGCGCAUCUUCUCCAAGGGGAAGCUGUACUGUAAAUCAAACUGAAAAGGGAAAAAACAGCCUGAGGAAGAUAUUAAUGCUUGCUAGAGAGGUAAGGAAGAUGUCAGCAAGUAACAAAAGGGGACCGAGAGAAAAGGGAGCAAGUAACCACUUUUAUUUGGCAAAAUAAGAGGCAGUGGUAGAACAGGGAAAAAAAGUGUACCCGUGAGUUGGACUCCAUCAUUCCUUUGGGUCCCUUCCAACCUGGGAUAUUCUGCCAUUCUGUGUACCUGUAUCAAAAGCUCCACAUAUGUAGGAAGAAUUGUGGCUACUCAGUUAUGUG